Molecule: ribosomal RNA, 254 nt
Filed under: uncultured bacterium
Lineage: Bacteria
Description: partial 16S ribosomal RNA
Rfam family: Bacterial small subunit ribosomal RNA
Source: RNAcentral
UACGAAGGGUGCAAGCGUUACUCGGAAUUACUGGGCGUAAAGAGCGCGCAGGCGGUCGUUCAAGUCGAGUGUGAAAGCCCCCGGCUCAACUGGGGAGGGUCACUCGAUACUGAUCGACUUGAAGGCAGGAGAGGGAAGCGGAAUUCCCGGUGUAGUGGUGAAAUGCGUAGAUAUCGGGAGGAACACCAGUGGCGAAGGCGGCUUCCUGGCCUGUUUCUUGACGCUGAGGCGCGAAAGCUAGGGGAGCAAACGGG